This 70-nucleotide transfer RNA is filed under the name Bacteroides sp. AM22-3LB. Its description in RNAcentral is "tRNA-Pro". It matches the Rfam family "tRNA". From Rfam's summary of the family: Transfer RNA (tRNA) molecules are approximately 80 nucleotides in length. Their secondary structure includes four short double-helical elements and three loops (D, anti-codon, and T loops). The record is from RNAcentral. Lineage: Bacteria; Pseudomonadati; Bacteroidota; Bacteroidia; Bacteroidales; Bacteroidaceae.
AGGACUAUUAAAAAGAUAUCUUACCUGCUUUGGGAGCAGGGGGUCGUGGGUUCGAAUCCCGCUACCCCGA